UACGUAGGAUGCAAGCGUUGUCCGGAAUUAUUGGGCGUAAAGAGUUCGUAGGCGGUUGCCUAAGUCUGGUGUUAAAUACAGGAGCUCAACUCCUGCAUGGCACUGGAAACUGGGCAGCUAGAGUGUGGUAGAGGUCACGGGAAUUCCAGGUGUAGCGGUGAAAUGCGUAGAUAUCUGGAGGAACACCAGUGGCGAAAGCGCGUGACUGGGCCACAACUGACGCUGAGGAACGAAAGCUAGGGGAGCGAAGGGG
This 253-nucleotide ribosomal RNA is filed under the name uncultured bacterium. RNAcentral describes it as "partial 16S ribosomal RNA". It matches the Rfam family "Bacterial small subunit ribosomal RNA", at positions 524 to 776 of the family's 1533-position model. The record is from RNAcentral.